AAUCUGAUCAGUACAUAUGCAUGAGGGAAACGUCCCUGCAGAAUAGUGUUGUUAUAAUCGAUAUGAGUAUGCCAAAUCAACCUCUGAGGAGACCUAUUACUGCAAACUCUGCACUGAUGAAUCUGAAUUCUAAAAUUCUUGCAUUGAAAGGUUGUAUUUUGGAAAUGGAUUACCCCAAAGUUGUUGGGUCUGGUUACACAGACCUCAGUAUAUCAUUGGUCAAUUGAAGGUGAGACUGAACCUGUGAAGAUCUUCGAAAGAACUACUAAUCUGGCAAACAAUCAGAUAAUAAACUAUCGAUGUGACCCUUCUGAAAAGUGGUUGGUUUUGAUUGGAAUUGCCACUGGUGCUCCUGAGAGGCAAAAUCUGGUCAAAGGGAAUAUGCAACUCUUUUCAGUGGAACAACAGAGAAGUCAAGCUCUGGAAGCUCAUGCUGCUGCUUUUGCACAAUUUAAAGUUCCAGGGAAUGAGAAUCCUUCUACUCUCAUUUCCUUUGCAACAAAGACUUUUAAUGCUAGCCAAAUUACAUCAAAGCUGCAUGUUAUAGAUCUUGGUGCC
Long non-coding RNA from Humulus lupulus (European hop), 558 nucleotides. RefSeq lists it as uncharacterized. Lineage: Eukaryota; Viridiplantae; Streptophyta; Magnoliopsida; Rosales; Cannabaceae. The transcript is spliced from 5 exons. The record is from RefSeq and is a predicted model, not a curated record.